CACGCUGUAGGACGCUGACAGCAAUGAGCAUCUCAGGGAGGGAUGGCAGCACUCCUUAACACCUUUGGACUCCACACUGUAGGACGCUGACAGCAAUGAGCAUCUCAGGGAGGGAUGGCAGCGCUCCUUAACACCUUUGGACUCCACACUGUAGGACGCUGACAGCAAUGAGCAUCUCAGGGAGGGAUGGCAGCGCUCCUUAACACCUUUGGACUCCACACUGUGGUGUUCACACUACACCAAGUUUCAUUUGAAUAUUCAUUGGUGGCUAUUCAAGUUUUUUAUUGAACUAUUUAUCAAAUGGACAGAGGCGGCUGAUCUUCCAGCCCAGGGAAGGUAAAGGUGAACUUCCUCUGACGUCCGGGAGUCACUGUACCACUAAUGGAGGGCCACAGAUUCUUUCACAGGCAAGAUUCAGAAAGCUGUUCCUACUGUGUUGUCUGUACAGCAGGUGGCGACAUGGAGGCACAAGUAGAUUCCAACUGAAACAUGACAUCACAGACUGGGCUAAACAAUUCCAGGGUUAGAAAGACAUGAUUAGACCACAGAAGCAGUUAGACUCUUUGACUGUAUGAUAUGGGAGCACAAUAGGGUUAUAUACUGUACUAACUUACAAGGUUGAAACAUACUGUCUAGUCAUUACAACAAAAGUUCAGUUUGAGGAAUUACAGAAUGCAGACAGAUUAAAACAAGACUGAAAAACAGAAACCAAAGAACCUUUAUUAAAUAGUAAUGUGAGGUUUCAGUUGGAUUUUCUUCAUUCCAAAAAACAACUAUACCAGGGUUUUAGUUUUAGUGUGAAUCAAGGCUCCCUGCAUAGUAGGAUGGGGGGGCAGGUGUUCCCCAAAACAGAACCAGAGAGAGGGUGAAUUAGUUUUAACUCGCCCAGUGCUCCGGGACACUUUAGGGCCAAUGGAAUGGUCCAGAUCUGGUCGUACCGUCUCAGGUAGCCCGGUCCAGAUCUGGUCGUACCGUCUCAGGUAGCCCGGUCCAGAUCUGGUCGUACCGUCUCAGGUAGCCCGGUCCAGAUCUGGUCGUACCGUCUCAGGUAGCCCGGUCCAGAUCUGGUCGUACCGUCUCAGGUAGCCCGGUCCAGAUCUGGUCGUACCGUCUCAGGUAGCCCGGUCCAGAUCUGGUCGUACCGUCUCAGGUAGCCCGGUCCAGAUCUGGUCGUACCGUCUCAGGUAGCCCGGUCCAGAUCUGGUCGUACCGUCUCAGGUAGCCCGGUCCAGAUCUGGUCUGAAUGUCAAGCUAAACCAAGUGAAACAAGGUGGGGGAAAAGGUUUGUUUGUAGAGUAAGGAGACAGUACUGUAAGUGGUUACACAUCAGCAACAUGUUGUAGUAUUAGCCAGCAAACAGCAGACAGCAGUCACUUUGGGAAGUAUAGACCUGACUCCAGAUCAGCUCAUAGAAGACUGUUCCUGUGCUCCUCCAUGCUGCAGAACAGACAUGUUGUGAAGAUCAUUCAAACCGGUUAUAUGUAUCAAUGUCUAAUAGAAAGUACCUCUGGACUCUUUUCAGAUUUGGUUGUUUUACAAAGUGGGAUUAAAAUGGAUUUAAUUGUCA
Molecule: long non-coding RNA, 1567 nt
Organism: Oncorhynchus keta (chum salmon)
Lineage: Eukaryota; Metazoa; Chordata; Actinopteri; Salmoniformes; Salmonidae
Exons: 2
Source: RefSeq, a predicted model, not a curated record